RNAcentral lists this ribosomal RNA (456 nucleotides) under uncultured bacterium. RNAcentral describes it as "bacterial SSU rRNA". It matches the Rfam family "Bacterial small subunit ribosomal RNA", at positions 340 to 786 of the family's 1533-position model. The record is from RNAcentral.
UACGGAAGGCAGCAGUGGGGAAUAUUGCACAAUGGGCGAAAGCCUGAUGCAGCUAUGCCGCGUGUAUGAAGAAGGCCUUAGGGUUGUAAAGUACUUUCAUCGGGGAGGAAAAACAAAACUAAUAAUUUUAAUUUCUUGACGUUACCCGAAAAAGAAGCACCGGCUAACUCCGUGCCAGCAGCCGCGGUAAUACGGAGGGUGCUAGCGUUAAUCAGAAUUACUGGGCGUAAAGAGCACGUAGGUGGUUUUUUUAAGUCAGAUGUGAAAUCCCUGGGCUUAACCUAGGAACUGCAUUUUGAAACUGAAAUACUAGAGUAUCGUAGAGGGAGGUAGAAUUCUAGGUGUAGCGGUGAAAUGCGUAGAUAUCUGGAGGAAUACCUGUGGCGAAAGCGGCCUCCUAAACGAAUACUGACACUGAGGUGCGAAAGCGUGGGGAGCAAACAGGGAUUAGAUACC